Molecule: ribosomal RNA, 489 nt
Filed under: uncultured Eubacteriales bacterium
Lineage: Bacteria; Bacillati; Bacillota; Clostridia; Eubacteriales
Description: bacterial SSU rRNA
Rfam family: Bacterial small subunit ribosomal RNA
Source: RNAcentral
AACGCUGGCGGCGUGCGUAACACAUGCAAGUCGAACGAGAAUGUACUGACAGAUCCUUAGGGUGAAGAUAGUACAGGACAGUGGCGGAUGGGUGAGUAACGCGUAAGAAACCUGCCUUUCACACCGGGAUAGCAGCUGGAAACGGCUAUUAAUACCGGAUGACACUUUUUCCCCGCAUGAGGAAGAGGUUAAAGAAUUUCGGUGAAAGAUGGUCUUGCGUCUGAUUAGCUAGUUGGUGGGGUAACGGCCUACCAAGGCGACGAUCAGUAGCCGGCCUGAGAGGGUGUACGGCCACAUUGGGACUGAGACACGGCCCAAACUCCUACGGGAGGCAGCAGUGGGGAAUUUUGCACAAUGGAGGAAACUCUGAUGCAGCGACGCCGCAUGAACGAAGAAGGUCUUCGGAUUGUAAAGUUCUGUCCUGGGUGAAGAUAAUGACGGUAACUCAGGAGGAAGCCCCGGCUAACUACGUGCCAGCCGCCGCGGUAA